CCUACGGGCGGCAGCAGUGGGGAAUAUUGGACAAUGGGCGAAAGCCUGAUCCAGCCAUGCCGCGUGUGUGAAGAAGGCCUUCGGGUUGUAAAGCACUUUCAGUGGGGAAGAAAGCCUUGGGGCUAAUACCCUCGAGGAAGGACAUCACCCACAGAAGAAGCACCGGCUAACUCCGUGCCAGCAGCCGCGGUAAUACGGAGGGUGCGAGCGUUAAUCGGAAUUACUGGGCGUAAAGCGCGCGUAGGCGGUCUGAUAAGCCGGUUGUGAAAGCCCCGGGCUCAACCUGGGAACGGCAUCCGGAACUGUCAGGCUAGAGUGCAGGAGAGGAAGGUAGAAUUCCCGGUGUAGCGGUGAAAUGCGUAGAGAUCGGGAGGAAUACCAGUGGCGAAGGCGGCCUUCUGGACUGAAACUGACGCUGAGGUGCGAAAGCGUGGGUAGCAAACAGGAUGAGAUACCCUAGUAGU
RNAcentral lists this ribosomal RNA (464 nucleotides) under Vreelandella stevensii. RNAcentral's name for it is "partial 16S ribosomal RNA". It matches the Rfam family "Bacterial small subunit ribosomal RNA", at positions 338 to 794 of the family's 1533-position model. The record is from RNAcentral. Lineage: Bacteria; Pseudomonadati; Pseudomonadota; Gammaproteobacteria; Oceanospirillales; Halomonadaceae.